CAGCCGCCGCGGUAAUUCGUAGGGUGCAAGCGUUAAUCGGAAUUACUGGGCGUAAAGCGUGCGCAGGCGGUUUGUUAAGACAGAUGUGAAAUCCCCGGGCUCAACCUGGGAACUGCAUUUGUGACUGGCAAGCUAGAGUGUGGCAGAGGGGGGUGGAAUUCCGCGUGUAGCAGUGAAAUGCGUAGAUAUGCGGAGGAACACCGAUGGCGAAGGCAGCCCCCUGGGCCAACACUGACGCUCAUGCACGAAAGCGUGGGGAGCAAACAGGAUUAGAUACCCCUGUAGUCCCUGUCUCUUAUAC
Molecule: ribosomal RNA, 301 nt
Filed under: uncultured bacterium
Lineage: Bacteria
Description: partial 16S ribosomal RNA
Rfam family: Bacterial small subunit ribosomal RNA
Source: RNAcentral